This 1327-nucleotide long non-coding RNA is filed under the name Monodelphis domestica (gray short-tailed opossum). RNAcentral describes it as "lncRNA (ENSMODG00000039740.1)". Lineage: Eukaryota; Metazoa; Chordata; Mammalia; Didelphimorphia; Didelphidae. The record is from RNAcentral.
CGGGUGUCUAUCAGCUACAGAGAGCCUAGUGCGGCUCCUCCUCCCCCGCUGCCCAGCUGCCUUCCUGCUAAUGCUGCUCUAAUUAACAGCAGCCUGGAGAGGCUGAAGCCUGGGCAGCAGGAGAGCAUGAUUUUAUCCAGUAGAGUCGUGUCUCUGGCUUGGGAGCCAGGAGAAAAACCCCUUUCAUAUUGCCAGAUCAAUAAGCAGAAAUCAUCCAGAAUUCACUGUCCCUUGGAGAGUUUGUCCUUGAGGAUAAGGCCUCAGAAAGAAGCAAAUGGGAAGACUUCCCCAGCCCAAUUCUGGGGGUUAAAGGUGGAAGACUCUUAGUAUGAGGUUGGACCACUCACAGUCAGAAAACUGGAACUGAGCUGGGCUGGACCGAAAGUCUGAGAAUAAUUACAUGUUAUAAGGACCUGAAAGCUAAAGAAAUCUCGGGGGCAGCUGGGAAAAGGGGGCCCACUGUUUCAUCCACAGAAGAUGGAAUCCUUCCACACACGGGGCCUCAGCUCUCAGCUUCAAGGUUCUUUCCCACUUUGGCAGACUGGUCCUGAGCAAGGCCCUGCUUAUCUCCCAGCCAAGCUCAAGGUGAAAUACCUUAAGAGUAAAUGCUUUAUUUGGAAAUCCUGAUUCCAUUAAGAAACCACCCGACAAAUGGAAUGGAUCACAAAUGUGGUGCUGGGAGUCUCGAAGACAAUCAGAUGCAGUGUUCACCCAGUCAGGAUGAUGUUGCAAUACAGGGGCAUUUAUUGAAGCAGAAACUGAAGAUUGAGCCAGAAGUCUUCCUGUUGGCAUUUUAAGGGUUCUGACUUACAAGAAGAGCUAACAAUGAUAGAGUGAUUUAAGAUUUGCAAAACCCUUUCUUAGGAUUAUCUCAUUUGAUCCCAACAACCCCGAUAAAGAAAUUUUAUUUUCGUCCCUAUUUUGCAGGGGUGGAAAUUGAGGCUGAGCCUUAACCAGUAUUAGUUUGUAAGUGACCAAGGAGGCAUCUGAACUCAGGUAAGCACAGUGUUCUGUCCACUAGGCUAAGCUGCCUCAGAGUCAUGUAAUGUUAGAACUUGAAGGGUUCUUCAGGAUCAUCUAGUCCAAUACCCUCAUUUUACAUUCUUUUUUUUUUUAACUCUUACCUUUCAUCUUAGAAUCACUACUGUAUAUCGAUUCUAAGGCAGAAGAGUGGUAAGGGUUAGGCAAUGGGGGUUAAGUGACUUGGCCAGAGUCACACAGCUAGGAAGUGUCUGAGACUGGAUUUGAAUCUAGGACCUCUCGUCUAUAGGCCUGUCUCUCAAUCCACUGAGCCACCCAUUGGCCCCCUCUCAUUUUACAUUCUAAG